This 2996-nucleotide long non-coding RNA is filed under the name Brassica napus (rape). Its description in RNAcentral is "long non-coding RNA (BNAP_LNC009273)". The record is from RNAcentral. Lineage: Eukaryota; Viridiplantae; Streptophyta; Magnoliopsida; Brassicales; Brassicaceae.
AAUCAUAUCAUUGAUAAUGCAAAUAAAUCAAAUUUUAGUGAGUUGCAGAAGCUUUGAAGGCGGCAAAAGAGUGGCAGGAGUCUCUUCCUCCACGAAAACAAAACUCUGUUUCACCUAAAGAUCUUCAUGCUUCGAGCACAACUCCUAAGGUCCCGGAAAAUUCCUUUAUGUUGUUCUCGGAUGCGGCUUGGAAUUCUUCUUCUCUUGCAGGUGGACUCGGCUGGGUAUGUACAGAUUCGAGAGGCACACUCUGUUUCGAAGGAUCCGACAAUGGACGCUACAUUGUGUCAGCUCUUGCAGCAGAAGCCUUGGCUCUGCGUUCAGGCCUUUCGAAGGCUAUGUCCGUUGGAAUUAAAGACGUGGUCUAUUUCUCAGACUCUAAAAGUCUUAUCGAUUUAAACACAGGGAACAAAUCUGUGAUUGCACUGCGAGGGGUACUCCAUGAUAUAGGUUGGCAAAGAGCUCUCUGUUUCAGCUCACAAACAAUCUCUCUGAGAUUGGAAACGUUGUUAUGUUUUAAGAUAAUCUAAUGGAAAAAUGUUUGACCACGUGCGGAAAAUGAAAAUUUAAAAUAUACUUAUAUAUUUCAAACAAGAUACACAUCCUAUUUUAAAAAUGUAUAAAAAGAGAAUAAGAAAAUCAAUCAUUUAGAGAAUGGAAAUUAACAGAUUUUGUUAGGCCAAAUAGAAAAUGAUAAUUAGUUCUUUAAUUAAUUUGAUUAGAAUAUGGUUUAUCUUCCAAUUAAGCUAUUGCAUUGCAAUAAAUGAUUCUUAUUUGAAUAAGGCAAGUGGGACCGUUGAACAGUAGAAAUUGUAAAAUAGUGUUUAAUAGUAGUUUUCCUUUCUUCAAAUCCUAUUAAAAAAAUAUUUAUAGAAUAAUUAUUUCAAAUAGUUUUUUUAUAAAUAAUCAACUUUCUUAUUUAAAUAGUUAAUUUCCUUUUUAAAAAUCAUAAACCAAAAGAAACUACAACUAUUCACAUCUAUUUAUAUGAUUAAGCUUUCUCAUAUUUUAUCACUUCUAAUAUUUUGAUAUCAAACAUAAUAAGUGAUACUAGAAAAUAUUAGGUGAAUAUUUCUGCAUGUUCUUUCUCAUCUUCGCAUAUUAUUUUUUAGGCGUUUGCACAUAUUAAUGAUAUGCGGAUGUACGUAAUUUAAUGAUGAAAGCUAAUGUGACUAUUAUGCUUAUGUAUAAUUAUGUUCAUGUGUGUUUGUUCUUAUCAACAUAUGAAGUUGGUUAUGCUAUUAUAGGUCAUGCAACUAAGAAAUCUAAAUCAAAGAAAGAGACUUUGCAAUGGAACAAAAUUACUAAUUAUUGAUGCAGAAAUACUAACCGAACGUUACGUGAAAAAACAAAUUUCUUUAUGCUACUAAGAAAAUUGGUUAUGCUAUUUUAAGUCAUGCUACUAAAGAAUUUAAAUCAAAGAAAAGAACUAGGCGACAUGAUUAUUGAAGCAGAAAUCCUAAUCAAAGUUAUGUGGGAAAAUGAAUUUUUAUUCAUAGACAAACAUAUGCAAGAUGACAUUUCAAACUGAAAAGAUCUAUUCCCUAUAUGAUUUGCUAUCAAAUGAUUCUCAACAAGAGUUAAGGUCAAAACUUAAAAAAGUUUGUCUAUAUUUGUCAAGUCCAGUUUUACAAUUAUACGCCGCCUUAUAAUAAAUUACUAUAACUACAAAGUUUUAGAUUUUUAAAACAUAACGACAAUGGUUUUCUACAAAAUAUUAUAUAUCAAGAAUUUUUUAAUGAUAUAUGAUAUAUAUAUAUAUAGAAAAAGAGGUUAAAAUCACACUAUGGAUGCUAAAUUAAUCAACCUCGAAUGUUUUAUCUAGAAAUAUAUUUUAUAUUUAGAUGACUAUCAAAAAUACAUAUUGAUUGGUGUUCUGUAACAUUAAAAUUUGGAUUUUGCUAUUUUUAAUUUUUCUUAAGGAAUAAAAAAUAUAGAGAUUUCACGGUUUUAUAUGUUUUAAUUAACUACAAUUAAUAUUAUUUUUAAAAAAUAAAAGUGAGGUAUUUAUUAUAAAAAUUAAUACACUAUUUAAAACAUUGUGAUUAUUGAAACAAAAAUACUAAUCAAAAUUUAUCGAAGAAAAUAAAUUAUUAUUAUUAAAAUAAGUCACUAAUAUAUAAUGAAAAAACAAAAACUAAUGUGAAAUUCUUUUUAUUAUUUUUGUGUUCCUGAAACUAAAACAUCAAAUAAAACCCGUGCAACGCACGGGUCCAUAUCUAGUAGAAAAUAAAUUAGACUGGUUUAGUAACUUUCUUGGUUUAUAAUUUUAUAUAAUUUGCCACAAUAUAAGUUCUGUCUCUAUACGUUGUUUUGGAUUAAAAGCUGUGGGCUGCUCUUGGAUUCCCUGGACUCUUAUAUUUCGGCCGAAUGAAUAAAAGAUUAUAUGAAACUAUGGGCUACUCUUUUUCAACUUUUUAACUUUUAUAUAUUCUGGAAAAAAUCAUAUCAUUGAUAAUGCAAAUAAAUCAAAUUUUAGUGAGUUGCAGAAGCUUUGAAGGCGGCAAAAGAGUGGCAGGAGUCUCUUCCUCCACGAAAACAAAACUCUGUUUCACCUAAAGAUCUUCAUGCUUCGAGCACAACUCCUAAGGUCCCGGAAAAUUCCUUUAUGUUGUUCUCGGAUGCGGCUUGGAAUUCUUCUUCUCUUGCAGGUGGACUCGGCUGGGUAUGUACAGAUUCGAGAGGCACACUCUGUUUCGAAGGAUCCGACAAUGGACGCUACAUUGUGUCAGCUCUUGCAGCAGAAGCCUUGGCUCUGCGUUCAGGCCUUUCGAAGGCUAUGUCCGUUGGAAUUAAAGACGUGGUCUAUUUCUCAGACUCUAAAAGUCUUAUCGAUUUAAACACAGGGAACAAAUCUGUGAUUGCACUGCGAGGGGUACUCCAUGAUAUAGGUUGGCAAAGAGCUCUCUGUUUCAGCUCACAAACAAUCUCUCUGAGAUUGGAAACGUUGUUAUGUUUUAAGAUAAUCUAAUGGAAAAAUGUUUGACCACGUGCGG